GAUGAACGCUGGCGGUCUGUAUAAGCAUGCAAGUCGAACGGAGUGCCUUUGAAAGAGGCCUCUUCCAAUUGAUAAGGUUACUUAGUGGCGGACGGGUGAGUAACGCGUGAGGAACCUGCCUUGGAGUGGGGAAUAACACAGUGAAAAUUGUGCUAAUACCGCAUAAUGCAGUUGGGCCGCAUGGCUCUGACUGCCAAAGAUUUAUCGCUCUGAGAUGGCCUCGCGUCUGAUUAGCUAGUUGGUGGGGUAACGGCCCACCAAGGCGACGAUCGGUAGCCGGACUGAGAGGUUGGCCGGCCACAUUGGGACUGAGACACGGCCCAGACUCCUACGGGAGGCAGCAGUGGGGAAUAUUGGGCAAUGGGCGCAAGCCUGACCCAGCAACGCCGCGUGAAGGAAGAAGGCUUUCGGGUUGUAAACUUCUUUUCUUAGGGACGAAGCAAGUGACGGUACCUAAGGAAUAAGCCACGGCUAACUACGUGCCAGCAGCCGCGGUAAUACGUAGGUGGCAAGCGUUAUCCGGAUUUACUGGGUGUAAAGGGCGUGUAGGCGGGAUUGCAAGUCAGAUGUGAAAACCGCGGGCUCAACCUGUGGCCUGCAUUUGAAACUGUAGUUCUUGAGUACUGGAGAGGCAGACGGAAUUCCUAGUGUAGCGGUGAAAUGCGUAGAUAUUUGGAGGAACACCAGUGGCGAAGGGGGGCUGCUGGACAGCAA
RNAcentral lists this ribosomal RNA (714 nucleotides) under uncultured bacterium. RNAcentral describes it as "bacterial SSU rRNA". It matches the Rfam family "Bacterial small subunit ribosomal RNA", at positions 28 to 739 of the family's 1533-position model. The record is from RNAcentral.